GACGAACGCUGGCGGCGUGCCUAAUACAUGCCAGUCGAACGAACGGAUAAAGAGCUUUCUCUUUUGCAGUUAGUGGCGGACGGGUGAGUAACACGUGGGUAACCUGCCUCACAGCUGUGGAUAACAUCGUAAAAUCGAUGCUAAUACCGACUGUGCUGAACUUCAUAAGAUGUUCAAGUAAAAUCCGGUUUCGGCUGUCACUGUGAGAUGGACCCGCGCUGGAUUAGCUAGUUGGUAAGGUAAUGGCUUACCAAGGCGACGAUCCAUAGCCGACCUGAGAGGGUGAUCGGCCACAUUGGGACUGAGACACGGCCCAAACUCCUACGGGAGGCAGCAGUAGGGAAUCUUCGGCAAUGGGCGAAAGUCUGACCGAGCAACGCCGCGUGAGCGAAGAAGGCCUUCGGGUCGUAAAGCUCUGUUGUUAGAGAAGAACAUGGGUGAGAGUAACUGUUCACCUCUUGACGGUACCUAAACAGAAAGCAACGGCUAACUACGUG
This 497-nucleotide ribosomal RNA is filed under the name uncultured bacterium. RNAcentral describes it as "partial 16S ribosomal RNA". It matches the Rfam family "Bacterial small subunit ribosomal RNA", at positions 28 to 507 of the family's 1533-position model. The record is from RNAcentral.